This 230-nucleotide long non-coding RNA is filed under the name Prunus persica (peach). Its description in RNAcentral is "long non-coding RNA (PPER_LNC003911)". Lineage: Eukaryota; Viridiplantae; Streptophyta; Magnoliopsida; Rosales; Rosaceae. The record is from RNAcentral.
GACCAUUGAUUCAGAGUACUUGAGAGGCACCAUGGCUGCAGUUCACUCUGUUCUCAAGCACGCUUCUUGCCCAGACAACACCUUCUUCCACUUCAUCGCCUCAGAUUCAAUUUUGGUCAAUUUACAGGACCUCACUCGCAUUGUCCAAUCCACCUUCCCUUCCCUGAGUUUCAGAGUUUAUGUUUUCAGGGAAAGACUCGUCAACAAUCUGAUUUCGUCUUCGAUUCGAC